UUUGCAUGUAAUCCAAAUUUCUGUUCUGCCGAAUUCCGGAAUAUAAAAACAUCUUUAUCUGCAAGAGAAUCGUAUGGCGACGAUGCUAUCGGAUACGUGCAACUACAAAGGACUCAAGCUUUAUGUACUAUAAAGUGUACAAUAUGUCCGGAACAUAAAGUUCGUUCCAAACCAUAUUCUGCAACUCUCAUUGUAGAUGAGCAAGAAGAUGAUGUGCUACAGGUGACAUGCCAUGAUUGUCCUGCGUCUGCCGGUGGAUGUAAACAUGCUGUGGCGUUUUUAAUGUGGUGUCAUCGUAGAAGUGAAGAGCCAUCAUGCACUUCAGUCCAAUGUUAUUGGAAAAAAUCGACACUAUCAAAGGUCGGAUCUUCAAUAAAAAUUAUGACAACGAAAGAAAUGACAAAAAAGAAGCUAAAAAGUGCUGAAACUAGUAUAGGUGACAGUGUAGUUGAAGAUUUUUUAAUUGAAUCUAAAAAAAGAAAAAUUACUUCUUGUCAAUAUUUAAAGCAUGAAAAUGAUUUUGUUUGCAAAAAAAGUAAUACACUGUCACUACAUUACCUGAUGUGUAGUAACAACACCAAUAAAUGUGAUGAUUUCCUAAACCUAAUAGGUAAAGUUUUCAAUGAUAUAAAUAUCAGAAAUGUUGAGAAACAAACUAGAAACCAACAUAAGAGUGGAUUAUGGUAUGAGUUACGUUAUGGGAGAAUCACGGCUUCAAAAUGCUUUGAAGUCAGUAGGUGUAAAACCACUGAUGGUUCUUUGGUUGCCACCAUUCUUGGAGGAAGAACCAUCGAAACUACUGCAAUAAAGCGAGGCAGAAAUUUGGAAGACAGUGUGCGAAAAAGUGUGGAGAAAAAAUUGGGGAAAAAAAUAGAAAAAUGUGGAUUAUUUAUUUCCGAAGAGAAUCCUAUGAUUGCAGGUUCGCCAGAUGGCAUUUGUGAAAAAAAUACUACGAUUGAAAUUAAGUGCCCAAGUACCAAAAAAACUGAAAAUAAAUAUAUUAAAGACGGUGCUAUCACUAAACAACACUAUGCUCAAGUACAAGUACAAAUGUAUUGUGCAAAAGUGAAUAAAAGUUAUUUCUGUGUCGCAAGUAGUGGUUUCGAAAAGGACAAUAAAGUGAAUAUUAUAGAGAUUGCAUAUGAUCAAAUAUAUGUGUCAGAACUGCUCCACAGUGUUAUUUCAUUUUGGAAAAGAAAUAUUUUUCCCAUUUUAUAUGAAACUGUACAAACAUAAUAAAAAAAAAGAACUUUAAAUAAUAA
Long non-coding RNA from Ostrinia nubilalis (European corn borer), 1262 nucleotides. RefSeq lists it as uncharacterized. The transcript is spliced from 2 exons. NCBI's taxonomy places the organism in Eukaryota, Metazoa, Arthropoda, Insecta, Lepidoptera, Crambidae. The record is from RefSeq and is a predicted model, not a curated record.